CAUGACAUCUCUAGCUUUGAGAUUUUGCAAAGAUGUAGCAUCAAUUGGAAUAGGCCAAUAUGCAAUAAGAUGGUAGAUGAAAUCCAUGAAUCCUGAACCACAUCAAUGAUGCCCCAUUAUCCACUAUCCACUUGAGAUUAGAUAAGAUUAAUGGAGUAAAAGAACACAACUAAUCCUCUAGCCAGGUGAACUAGGAUGUGAGCCCAA
This 207-nucleotide long non-coding RNA is filed under the name Elaeis guineensis (African oil palm). Its description in RNAcentral is "long non-coding RNA (EGUI_LNC056881)". The record is from RNAcentral. Lineage: Eukaryota; Viridiplantae; Streptophyta; Magnoliopsida; Arecales; Arecaceae.